Molecule: ribosomal RNA, 498 nt
Filed under: uncultured bacterium
Lineage: Bacteria
Description: partial 16S ribosomal RNA
Rfam family: Bacterial small subunit ribosomal RNA
Source: RNAcentral
AUUGAACGCUGGCGGCAUGCUUUACACAUGCAAGUCGAACGGUAACAGGCCGCAAGGUGCUGACGAGUGGCGAACGGGUGAGUAAUGCAUCGGAACGUGCCCAGUCGUGGGGGAUAACGCAGCGAAAGCUGUGCUAAUACCGCAUACGAUCUAUGGAUGAAAGCGGGGGACCGCAAGGCCUCGCGCGAUUGGAGCGGCCGAUGUCAGAUUAGGUAGUUGGUGGGGUAGAGGCUCACCAAGCCAACGAUCUGUAGCUGGUCUGAGAGGACGACCAGCCACACUGGGACUGAGACACGGCCCAGACUCCUACGGGAGGCAGCAGUGGGGAAUUUUGGACAAUGGGCGCAAGCCUGAUCCAGCAAUGCCGCGUGCAGGAAGAAGGCCUUCGGGUUGUAAACUGCUUUUGUACGGAACGAAACGGCGAGCUCUAAUACAGUUUGCUAAUGACGGUACCGUAAGAAUAAGCACCGGCUAACUACGUGCCAGCAGCCGCAGUAA